This 28-nucleotide non-coding RNA is filed under the name Homo sapiens (human). Lineage: Eukaryota; Metazoa; Chordata; Mammalia; Primates; Hominidae. The record is from RNAcentral.
UUCAGGACAUGGUGAGCUGUGACGCAGG